AAUCAGAGUCUGUUUAGAAGAGUGAAGACCAUUCAGAAUUAUCGAGGCACCAUCAGAACAAUGAUCAGCUAUCAAAACACAUGGCCACCAUGAGGGUGCAGCAGUAUUUCCAUGCAAUGUACCUCAAAUAGACACAGGUGGUAGUUCACAUCUUCAAGGUCAGAAUUUGUACUUGCGUCUUGCAGACACAAAUUCUUGGGUGCAACAACAGAGAUGCUGGACAGAGGAUGAAGCAUAUCAAGGGGACACCCAUGUUAACAAGAUCCUUCACCAAGACCUGGUCGUUCUUGGUUUGUUGGUGCCGGAGCCUGUGGAUCAGGUCAGUGACAACUUCAUUGAGGACACCACCGUACGCCUCCACUUCCUUUGGUUUCAACAUGUGUUUGCUGAGCAUGCUGCGGAGCCUCUGCCACUCCUCUCCUUCCCUGCAAGAAAGAAAGCCCUUAACACAGCAGAACUAACAGCAAUGGCCAAACAGCUUGCUGCUUACAAGGUCAGAAGGUCACAAGCUUUUGGCAAAGGACUGAAAGCAACACGCAAAUUAAUCACGACUAAGAAAGAAAAUCACCAACUGUCUCUGGGUCAUGUGGCUGGCAACAGAUCCAUGGAAAUGUUAAAAACCUCCAGGAAUGGCCAGGAAUCAGCAGAUAGUAGUGACCCUAUGUGAUUACUGUCACCCCAUGUUAACUUAUCAAUGCAGUAUUCCUGUUCCCAAGGAGCAAGUACUGUAGAAGAGUGUGGAAGCUAGUAAACCUUGGUUUCAAUUGAUCAAGAGGUUAUUAUUUCCGUAGCUAUUGCACUGUCAAUGUUUUACAGUCAAGACUUAAGGGGCUAAUUAGCCUCCUCAUGUUCCUGUGCUUAAGUCAAUCAGCUUUGAUCAAUGUUGAGCGAUGUCUUCCUACCGUCAUUUGCCUUCAAACUAUUGAAACUGUCAUGUAGGUCAAUGUGGCAGUCAUUUAUGCACAGCAAGAUCCCACAACAUGGAAGGAUAAGCAGUGAUGUCUGUUCAAUAAGGGAUGUUGGCCAGGAAACCAUGAAAAUUCCUUGUUGUUCUUCAAAUUGUGCCAGGAAAUCUGAACCAAUGAAAUAUACUUCUGUGAAGCAACCUGAGAUAUUAAAUCAAACCACUAUAAAAA
Rhincodon typus (whale shark) is the source of this 1136-nucleotide long non-coding RNA. RefSeq lists it as uncharacterized. The record is from RefSeq and is a predicted model, not a curated record. Lineage: Eukaryota; Metazoa; Chordata; Chondrichthyes; Orectolobiformes; Rhincodontidae. The transcript is spliced from 4 exons.